RNAcentral lists this ribosomal RNA (292 nucleotides) under uncultured bacterium. RNAcentral describes it as "partial 16S ribosomal RNA". It matches the Rfam family "Bacterial small subunit ribosomal RNA", at positions 505 to 796 of the family's 1533-position model. The record is from RNAcentral.
GUGCCAGCAGCCGCGGUAAUACGGAGGAUGCAAGCGUUAUCCGGAAUUAUUGGGCGUAAAGCGUCCGCAGGUGGUUAAUCAAGUCUAUUGUCAAAGUGCGAGGCUAAACUUCGUAAAGGCAGUGGAAACUGAUUGACUAGAGUUUGGUAGGGGUAGAGGGAAUUCCCAGUGUAGCGGUGAAAUGCGUAGAUAUUGGGAAGAACACCGGUGGCGAAAGCGCUCUACUGGGCCUGAACUGACACUGAGGGACGAGAGCUAGGGGAGCGAAAGGGAUUAGAAACCCCAGUAGUCC